CAGCAGCCGCGGUAAUACGUAGGUGGCAAGCGUUGUCCGGAAUUAUUGGGCGUAAAGGGCUCGCAGGCGGUUUCUUAAGUCUGAUGUGAAAGCCCCCGGCUCAACCGGGGAGGGUCAUUGGAAACUGGGAAACUUGAGUGCAGAAGAGGAGAGUGGAAUUCCACGUGUAGCGGUGAAAUGCGUAGAGAUGUGGAGGAACACCAGUGGCUAAGGCGACUCUCUGGUCUGUAACUGACGCUGAGGAGCGAAAGCGUGGGGAGCGAACAGGAUUAGAUACCCCAGUAGUCCCUGUCUCUUAUAC
This 301-nucleotide ribosomal RNA is filed under the name uncultured bacterium. RNAcentral describes it as "partial 16S ribosomal RNA". It matches the Rfam family "Bacterial small subunit ribosomal RNA", at positions 509 to 807 of the family's 1533-position model. The record is from RNAcentral.